GUCAUACUUUUAUAGGUAGAACUAUAACAGCAUACUACAUGCUACAAUUAAUACUUGUGGUAAAAUAUCAGUUAGAGAAAACCAUACACAUGAAUUAAGCUUUAAACGUUAAAGGUAAACAAGGAUUAGAUACCCUUCUAUAUAAACGCCUACUUAAAUAUGCCGAGUACUACAACUUGAAGAGUUAAAACUCAAACAACAUGGCGGUAAUUUCAAUUUAGGGGAACUUACCUAGUAAAUGAUAACCACCAAGGUUUUAUAACUAUAGGACAUUCUUGUAUGCCGUCGUCGUCAGGUAACACUCAAUGUUUUACCUUAAUAAAAAUACUUAAAAAGACAGAUCAAGGUGCAGACAAUCCUACAGAUAAGGCGAGUUACAGUUUUAAUUAAUAACAGAUACAUCAUUUAAUCGAAUGUACAAGAAGGACUUAAUAGUAAUGUGAAUUAACUAUACCACGUGAACCCUAGAAAUUGUGCACAA
Molecule: ribosomal RNA, 481 nt
Filed under: Sulcobasis sp. Wau
Lineage: Eukaryota; Metazoa; Mollusca; Gastropoda; Stylommatophora; Camaenidae
Description: partial 12S ribosomal RNA
Source: RNAcentral